Canis lupus familiaris (dog) is the source of this 654-nucleotide long non-coding RNA. RefSeq lists it as uncharacterized. The record is from RefSeq and is a predicted model, not a curated record. NCBI's taxonomy places the organism in Eukaryota, Metazoa, Chordata, Mammalia, Carnivora, Canidae. The transcript has 2 exons.
UUUCUAUUUUCUUUGAGAACACUAGUAGUGGAAGUGCUGGGUCAUAUGGUUAAGGUUAUGCUUGACUAUUUGAGGAACUGCCCUACUCUUUUCCAAGGUGGCUACACCGUUUUACAUUCCCGCCAGCAAUGCCUGAUGGUUAAGAUGAUGUUUUGAGAUGCAUUCAUGACCCCUGUGACUAUAUAGUUCAUCCAGUUUAUGGCCACACUACACUUGAUGCAUUCUAUGGUUGAGGGUCAUUUGGGUUAUUUCCAGUUUUAUGCUGUUAUAUGCAACACUCUCAUGAACGCUUUCCUACAGGUCAUCUGGUGCACAUGUCAUGUGUAAGAAGUUUGGAGUCUGUGCCCAGAAGUGGAAUUGCUGGGUCAUAAGGAAUGCAGUGACACCCCAGGAUGCCGGCUAUGCAACAGGUUCAGGAGCUCCAGGAGGAAGUUUCUGCAAGCACAGGCUUGACCCCCUCCCCCAUUCCAAGCAAAGAAUUGAGAAAUUGUAAAUAUUUUGGAUGGCAAUUUUUCAAUAUGCGUCAAAAUCUUUAAAAGUUUCAUUUCGUAAAAUCAUGGGAAGGUGUACAAAGAUGAUUGAAUAAGGAUGUUGACUGAAUCAUUAUUUAUGUUAAAAAAGUGAUUAUUAACGAAUAAAGGAUUGGUUGAUGAA